Molecule: ribosomal RNA, 253 nt
Filed under: uncultured bacterium
Lineage: Bacteria
Description: partial 16S ribosomal RNA
Rfam family: Bacterial small subunit ribosomal RNA
Source: RNAcentral
UACAGAAGUCUCAAGCGUUGUUCGGAUUCAUUGGGCGUAAAGGGUGCGUAGGCGGCGCGGUAAGUCGGGUGUGAAAUCUUGGAGCUUAACUCCGAAACUGCAUUCGAUACUGCCGUGCUUGAGGACUGGAGAGGAGACUGGAAUUUACGGUGUAGCGGUGAAAUGCGUAGAUAUCGGAAGGAACGCCGGUGGCGAAAGCGGCGUGCUGGACCUCUUCUGACGCUGAGGCGCGAAAGCCAGGGGAGCGAACGGG